Molecule: small RNA, 1034 nt
Filed under: Histoplasma ohiense
Lineage: Eukaryota; Fungi; Ascomycota; Eurotiomycetes; Onygenales; Ajellomycetaceae
Description: hypothetical lncRNA
Source: RNAcentral
ACAGGCACCUAACCGUUUUGUUGACAAGUCAGCUCACAGUUUGCUGCACGUACAUACUGCCUAUCCCCUGCGGCCGUACCUUCGGGGCUGGCUUUAGACGCCCUGGUGGAUUUUCACACUCGCUGAUCCCUGCUGCAGUCUUCUGUAACACGGUUGCCCUUACUAUCAACUCCAAUUUUAUUCCGACGUAUCAAGUUCAGGUUGCUUUUCCAGGGCUUCAACCUGUUGAGCAUACUGUGGACUAUUUCGUUUCCUCAUUGUACUGGUUGCUCGCCUCAUUGCGACCCGAUCUCAUAUCUUAGCCCAACGGGCCGCGCCACUUAAUUAAUUCCUGCAUGAACGCUACUCUGUUUUGAAUGGUGCCCUGGUUGAGGCCCACGAUGAGCCUUAAUCUAAAAUAAAUCCAACACAAGUCAGUCAUUCAAAAUCGAAACCGACAGAGAGUUACGUUUCUCAGUGAGGUACCACCCGCUCGGCGAAGAGUUUGGUUCUCUCAACUUCCCGGCCUUAACAACUUUUGGAACUUGGUUUGCCUCUCCACCAUAUCUCCAGCUGGUAAGCACGCCAAACUGUACUGUGAAGCAAUGAUACCUAGAUCCUGCCUAUCUCCUACCAAAGAUGAGCCGAGAGAGAUGAUCUCUUUGCUGUUAUAAGUAGUAUUCACUCACCCUUAUACCUUUGGAUCCAUCCUUUGGAGUAUCAACUCACUCGAAAUAUCAAGUCCAACUCUAGAAUUCCCCAGAUGGAAAUAAUCAGAGGACCCCUCAGAGGAAGAUAAUCAUCAAGAGGUCAAGGUUAAAUCAAACGCACGUCCCAUUUCAGCGUUUGCCUAAUUGAGAGUGUUGGUGCUGGCUUCGCCCCCGAGUUUCUUCGUCAAUUGUGAUCAUGGCCUUGAACAUUAUGAUUCUGAAGUUAUUAGCGCAGAUUGCGUUUGCAAAGUUAUCCCCGUGGAUGCGUAACUCGUUAGCAUACGAUAUUGUGUUAACAGUCAUCAUGUAAGUCCCUGCCUGGGUGAAAUCUGCAGAGGAAGCUGA